AUGGCAGGAGCAGGAGUCGGCGGCCGCAAGGCUCGCAACUUCGCGACCUUUCGCCUAUUCCCCCGCGACGGUGCCGCCGACCCCAACGACCGCGUCUUCGUCCGCGUCGACAACAACGCCUACACCAUCCCCGGCUUCGGCGACGACGAAGACCCUUCCCUCUCCCCCACCGCCGCCGCCGACCAAUUCCCUUCCUCCACCUCUGGCCCCCUCCCCGACCACGUCCGCCAGCAGAUCCUUGAGCUCGGCCUCCCCGACGAUGGCUACAACUACCUUCUCCAUCUCCGUGAGCUGCGGCCCUCCGCCGUGGCCUCCUCCUUCGUACCCAGCCACACCGCCCGCCCAGAGCAACUUCCCCUGGACGUGAAGGCAUAUGAUGCAAGCAAGGUGCGGGUUGCUUCUGGCAAGGUCGAGGAAGAGCUGGACGAGGGGAGGACCAUGUGUAAGGUGGCCGCAAAGACGGCACCGGUCAGGCGAGUUGAGAAGGCCGUCGACCCUGACGUUGCAAGGUUGCUCGAUGAGAGCGAGGAUGAGGGUUUGGAGGAGGAUUUCGUCAUCAUGGCAAACCAAGCCGAAGGGGAUGAUAUGGAGGAUGAAAGUGAGGAAGAGGGGGGCGGUGUGUUCAGUGAUGUGGAAAAUGAUGAGGAGUUCGAGGAUGAAGAGGGUGAGCCCAAGCCGAGGGUGCCACGGUUGCUGGAUGAACAAUUUGAUCUGCUUGCUUUGGAAGAAUAUGGAGCUAGUGAUGAUGAUGAUGGAGCUGUUAGAGAUGGGGAACAUGAACUCCCAACUGAGGUUAUAGAUGAAUUGAAGCUGUUCCACAAUCAAAAUGUAUGCGUUGAUGAAGAAUAUAGAACACCAGCAGAUUUUGUUCGUGGAAAACUUGACUCAACCACCGCUGAGGAGGUGGAUGAAUCUGCUAAUGUGAUCCAAAAGUGUGCUGAAUAUGCUGAAAGGUAUUUAAAUGAAACUGCAGAAGAUGAAGAUGUCUUGCUUGUUUCGGAAAGCAGUGAUGAAUCUGAAGUUUGGGACUGUGAGACCAUUGUUUCCACGUACUCUAACUUGGACAAUCACCCUGGCAAAAUUCAAACUCCAGGAAAUCCUAAAAAUCGUCUUCCCAAAGUUUUCCCUGGGGAAACAGCAACAACGAAAGAUAUCAUCAAGCUUCAUGGUAAAGAGAAACUUCCUGUAGAUUACCUGCCACAGAGGAAAAGAAAAGUUGAAAAGGAGAAGAAAGCAAAGCCCACAGAAUCUUCAGAUGCUGAAUAUUUUGAAAAGGUAGUAGUUCAGAAGGAAACAAAAGAUGAAAAGAAAGCUAGAAAGUCUGCAGUAAAAGAAGAGAAGAGAGAAGCCCGGAAAGCAAAGAAAGAGCUCAAAGAACUAUAUAAAUUUGAAACACAGAAGGCUCAGAAAGUUGCUGCUGUUACAGGACCAUCUUCCAUACGGCUAAUAUAA
RNAcentral lists this ribosomal RNA (1452 nucleotides) under Triticum aestivum (bread wheat). RNAcentral describes it as "partial small subunit ribosomal RNA". Lineage: Eukaryota; Viridiplantae; Streptophyta; Magnoliopsida; Poales; Poaceae. The record is from RNAcentral.